RNAcentral lists this ribosomal RNA (468 nucleotides) under uncultured bacterium. RNAcentral's name for it is "partial 16S ribosomal RNA". It matches the Rfam family "Bacterial small subunit ribosomal RNA", at positions 28 to 507 of the family's 1533-position model. The record is from RNAcentral.
GACGAACGCUGGCGGCGUGCUUAACACAUGCAAGUCGAACGGAAAGGCCCUGCUUUUGUGGGGUGCUCGAGUGGCGAACGGGUGAGUAACACGUGAGUAACCUGCCCUUGACUUUGGUAUAACUUCAGGAAACUGGGGCUAAUACCGGAUAGGAGCUCCUGCUGCAUGGUGGGGGUUGGAAAGUUUCGGCGGUUGGGGAUGGACUCGCGGCUUAUCAGCUUGUUGGUGGGGUAGUGGCUUACCAAGGCUUUGACGGGUAGCCGGCCUGAGGGGGUGACCGGCCACAUUGGGACUGAGAUACGGCCCAGACUCCUACGGGAGGCAGCAGUGGGGAAUAUUGCACAAUGGGCGGAAGCCUGAUGCAGCAACGCCGCGUGCGGGAUGACGGCCUUCGGGUUGUAAACCGCUUUCGCCUGUGACGAAGCGUGAGUGACGGUAAUGGGUAAAGAAGCACCGGCUAACUACGUG